This 465-nucleotide ribosomal RNA is filed under the name uncultured bacterium. Its description in RNAcentral is "SSU rRNA". It matches the Rfam family "Bacterial small subunit ribosomal RNA", at positions 26 to 518 of the family's 1533-position model. The record is from RNAcentral.
AGGACGAACGCUGGCGGCGUGCCUAAAACAUGCAAGUCGAACGAGGGAGCAAUCUCUAGUGGCGAACGGCGGAGUAAGACAUGAACAACGUGCCCUGAAGUCCGGGACAAACGCAGAAAUGCCAGUAAAUACCGGAUGUGGCCCAAGCUCGGCAUCGAGUUUGGGAUUAAACGGAUUUUCGCUUCAGGAGCGGUUCAUGGCCUAUCAGGUAGUUGGUGGGGUAAUGGCCUACCAAGCCGACGACAGGUAGCGGGUCUGAGAGGAUGAUCCGCCCGAGUGGGACUGAGACACGGCCCACACACCUACGGGUGGCAGCAGUUGGGAAUCUUGCACAAUGGGGGAAACCCUGAUGCAGCGACGCCGCGUGGAGGAUGAAGGGUCUAGGCCUGUAAACUCUUUUACCAGGAAAGACUUAGGACGGUACCUGGGGAAUAAGGACCGGCUAACUACGUAGCCAGCAGCCGC